UGUGUGUGUGUGUGUGCGUGCGUGUGUGUGUGUGUGAUGGUGGUGCUGGAGAUAGUGGUGGUGGAGUAGGCAGAAAGAUGGCUUCAUGCUCAGAACCUGUAUAUAAAUUGUUACCAGGUGAAGGUGUCUUAACAGCCAAUCAGUUUCCUCUAAAACUGCGCAUGCCGAGAUUAUCCAGGUGGGCUCCAUAUAAUCACAAGCAUCCUUAAAAGAAGCCGCAAGAGGCAAAAUAGCGUUAAAGUGAUGUUAUUUGAGGAAGAGUUGACAGUUUAGAACACUGCUGCCUUUGAAGAUAGAGUGGGGCCAUGAACCAAGGAAUUCUGGCUGUUUCUUGAAUCUGGAAAAAAGCAAGAAAAUGGAUUUCCCUUUAGGAAAAGGAAAGGCCUGCAUGAGACUUCAGAGCUACAGGACUGCAAGGUAAUAAAUUUCUUUUGAAAAUUCCGGGGUGACUCCUAGAUGCAGGUGAAGGUACCCACAGAGCCUUUAUUGUUUGCUGCCUCUUUAGCAGCUUUCUAGGAUCUCUGGUAAGCUUCUCUUGGAUCGAGUUCUUAUUUUAUGUUCUGAGGUCUUUAAGUUAGUUAGUUCACAUUCUUCUGGGUAGAAAAUUGGGGUGUCAUAGACUUCAGAUUUUCAUGGUGAGGUGUAAUGCGUACAAUGUUUGAGUUUGUGGGUGCCUUCAUCUUUAAGCGCUUCAGGAGGUCCUGGUACAUCUCAGGACCUAUGUCCAGGCAGACAGAAAUAGUAAAUUUGAAUUUUGGAGAUUUAUUUCUGGGGAAACUAAUGGAUACCUUUCAGUCUAAAGAAAGCAGGAUUGAAAAUUCUCAUUAUGGCUCAGUGAUAAUGAACCCACCUAGUAUCCAUGAGGAGGUAGGUUCAAUCCCCACGUUCACUCAGUGGGUUAAGGAUCUGGUGUUGCUUUGAGCUGUGGUUUAGGUCUCAGAUGUGGCUCGGAUCUGGCAUUACUGUUGCUGUGGUGUAGGCCAGCAGCUACAGCUCCAAUUUGACCCUUAGGCUAGGAACUUCCGUAUGCUAUGGGUGUGGCCCUAAGAAAGCAAAAAUAAAAAAUAAAUAGAGCAAGAUGGCAACCAUUAGGUGACACACAAAGCCUCAAGGUAAGCCUACAGCAUAAACCACUGGGGAACUCGGGGAGAUAAAGGGAAGAAAUUCAGACUUUUGUCUUGGCACAUAAAAUCUAUGUAAACACAAGCCAAACCAUUAAAAGCCAUUACAGUGUCUGCUACUAUAAAGAAAUUUUCUCAUGAAAAUAAUAAUAAAUUUAUUGCUAAAGGAAAUCAUAGAAGCCAGAGCUGCGAAAUUGGUGGGUGCUGGUCAAGCAUUUAAGAACUGACAGGGCACUUGUCACCUAACUCUUAAGACUUCCCAUGAUAGGAUAAAUUGGUUAGAGGAAGGGUUGGACCAAAAGAAGUCAUCCACCAACUUUAAGAAAAUUUUUGUGCAAUGAGAUACAUUGUAAAAACACCACAAAAUCUCUACCCAGCAACACAUUCCUCUUAGGUAUUAAUUUGGCUCCAAAAGACUUAGUCUUAUCUAAAGAUAUGGAUCUCAAACUUCAAAGAAUUGAGUAUACUACCUUCCAGCACACCUGAUUAUUUUAUGUCUGAGAACUGUGGUCCCUGAAGUAGUAGAUUAUCUAAUAAAAAUGGCAAAAUCCUGCUAAGACAUCCUAGAAUUACAAUGUCUAUUACAGGGUUUGGCCAGUUUAUAAAUAGGUUAAACUUUCAACAAGAAAAAAGAAAAAGUCAAUUUAAAUGUAAAUGCUUUUAGUCUUUGUUUUCUCUAUCCCCAGUUGAAGGCAAUGCAUGUAAAACCCCUCACUGAAGUGUGAAUGAUUGGAGGAGGAAAGGUAGGAGAAAUCUUCAAGUUCAGUGCUAAGUAUGUAAUAUCCUGAGAUAAAUAGUAUACCUAUAGUGAUAAUGAUUAUGCCAGUCAUUUAUUAGGCCCUUGCUAUGAUUCUUAAGUCUCCAAAAUGCUUUGUGAAUCUGUAUGAUUUCCUCAACAACCCUGAGAGGUGAAGAUAAUUAUAUGUGAAAAAAAAUCUUGGAGAGGGAUAACUUGCUUAGCUCUACUACAUGGUAUUUUUGAGAUUUGAGCUCAGGUUUGUCUGAUUACAGAGCUCUGUGCAUUCAGUCUCUAUGUUUCCAACAUAAAGUCUGUAUAACUUAUCAGUGGACAGAAAAGGAAUGUGUGCUCCAUACUUGAUAUUUCCUAAUUUUAUCCAGGUCUCUCCUUGCUGUUACAUCCUCAGGAUAAUAAUUUGACCUUCCCCUUAAACCUUAGCUUUCUUUUUUUCUUUUUUUUUUUUUUUUUUUGCCAUGUAUUUUUAGGCUUCUGAAUUAACAGGAAAAAAGCAUCAUUUUCUCUUAUGUACAGUUCUCAUUUUGUUCGCAUUUCCUCUUCUACCACCCAUCUCCCUAGGCAACGAAACAAACAAUGGAAAACCUUUUAUUUUUCAAAAAAUUAAGAUAAAAGUAGAGGAAUAAAUGAGGACUUCUUUUUCAUAUGUUUAAGUAACUAAGAAGAAAAGCAAAAACAUCUCUCACUUAAAUUCUUACAUUUAUAUACCAGUUGCUUGCCUCACUAGGAACUCUCUAUAUGAAGCUGACUCCAAAGACUUCAUGGAUGAGGGCAUGAGAGACAGUAAUUAACCUUUGAUCUUAAACAUCUCCCUGUUACACAUUUCUUUGUCUUUGUUUUUUUCUUUUCUUGUUGUGAAGCCAUAUAUGCUGUCAGAAUAAAAUUGUUUCACAUAUUCAAAGUAAACAAAACUGUUCCUUCUAGUCAGAUAUUCCUUAGAAGUUUCUUCUAGGGACACUCCCAACCAGGCAAAACCUUUCUAUGACUUCAAAAAAUGGCAUCAAUAUGUUUGCAAUGUUUAUUUUUUUAUGUUCCUAAAAAUUUGGAAAUUAUUUAACUCAAGAAAUCCUUGUUAGAAUUAAAAAAAAAAAAAAAAGGAAAAUCCAGUGAAAUCUGUUAAGUAAAAUGCAAGUUUUGGUUUGUAAAGCUUGCUUAUUGGAGUUGAGGGAUGGGACCAAGGCAUCUGCAGUCAUCAGAAAAGGCUUCUGCAAACUAUCCUCAAAUUACAGCAAUAUUUCUUAAUAUCCUGGGGAACUCUUUCUUUGACCCUGGUAUCCUAUUAGAAACCUUGAGCUAUUUCCAACCAAAAUUGGCAGAAAGAAGUCAAGAAAACAGCAAGGCCAUGAUUGCCCUUUCACAAUAGUAUAGUGGCCCACAUGUUUUUGGGUUGAACAUAAAAAAAUUUUUUUUAGUAUAGAAUAAUACAACCUAAAAGCUACAUAAACAGAGAUUUCUAGUUAGAAACUUUGAAAAUCAGCUGUAGUGAAUCCAUAAUUUCAUCACACAAUGUAUUUUUCUACCCCUCAAAACAUUUUUACUUUGUUUUGGAUUUUUGUAUCUUACUCAUAAUUUCAGCUUGUAAAGGAGAGCUUCUCUGGGAACCACCAUGUAAUUAUGUCACAGAAUGAGUACGCUGUCUGUGGUACAGAUCACAUCCUGCAUCUGAGGCUGACAGGUAAGCCUCUGAUUAUUCUUAUGUAUUCAACUUGAAACCACAAUUGCAGGCUAGUGUGCCUGGGUAGACUGGGACUUGAGAUGACCGCUAUUUAGUGAAUACCUAUUAUGUGUCAGGCCCUGUUAGGUGGUUUAAAAUGUUUCUAAUUAGCCUUAAACAUUUAGUGUUAUCUUUCUAGUAUGUAUGCAAGAAAAUUAAAACUCAGAAAGGUUAAAUAGUUUACUAAGAAUACAUGGCUAUUAAAUGACAAUCUGGGAUUUCAUCCCUAAAUCUAUGGUAUUUCUACUACAACUUACUGUGCACAGAGGUGAUUAAUAGAAUGAAAGAAUCACUGAAGAUGGAACAGGUGGAAAUGGCCUUAUUUCAUGCUCCAAAUAUUAUGGCAUUCAGUUUUGGUAACUCAAUAACAGGGCAGUCAUUCCUUUCAUUACUAUCAACUCUUAUAAUAUUACUACUGGAUUUCUGGCUUGUGUGACAGACAGGAAAACAUAUUUUGGGAAAAACAGUUCAUUUGAUUUAAGUAUGUUUGAAUAUGCUUAAAUGAUGGCAUUCAUAAGAUAUCCAGUUCACAUUUUUUAAUUCAGUGGAAAGGAAAUUCUUCAAGGAAGCAACAGCCCAUGUACACUGAGGGGGCAGUGCCUUUUGACUGUACUCUAUGUAAACACAGAAAUACUAUGUGGCCCUUUUCAUGUCCUUUGAGUAUCAGAAUGAAUCACUGUAAAGGGACAAACUUAAUCAUUUUUCAAAGCUGCCAGCUGGAAUCUUAACUGGAAAUUCUGCAGGAUGACAAUGCCUAUUAAUGCUUUCAGUUGUUUU
This 4366-nucleotide long non-coding RNA is filed under the name Sus scrofa (pig). RNAcentral's name for it is "lncRNA (ENSSSCG00015051174.1)". Lineage: Eukaryota; Metazoa; Chordata; Mammalia; Artiodactyla; Suidae. The record is from RNAcentral.